RNAcentral lists this unclassified non-coding RNA (955 nucleotides) under Bombus terrestris (buff-tailed bumblebee). Its description in RNAcentral is "misc RNA ENSBTSG00005020209.1". The record is from RNAcentral. Lineage: Eukaryota; Metazoa; Arthropoda; Insecta; Hymenoptera; Apidae.
AUUAUUAGGCAAAAGAACCAUAGUGGUUGGCACGAUAUGCAGAGACAAAAGAGAGCUCCCAAAAGUUUGUAAAACGAAGAACGAUACCAUAGCUCGCUUUUCGUCACUGCUGUAUCGAUCAAAUGAGAUUAUACUCACAAUUUAUAAAGAUUUAGCUGACAUAAAUGCCUGGAUUUUAUAUAAGGAAAGCACAGGUGAGCAGAUAUCCAGAAAAGAUUUUAUUUUUCAAUUAGCAGAUGAACUUGCCACUGACAAUGAAAAAUCAUGGAUAGAGCAAAGAGCAUCCGAGAUCCAAAGUACGUCAAUGAACUCACCUUAUUCAUGCAAAUGGCGUCAGAUAGGGUACUGUAAUAAUAAUAAGACCACCACCAUUUGCAAUCUUUGUAAAAAAUAUGUAUGCGGAAAGUAUACGCGGAAGAACUUUUACGUUUGUAAGAAAUAUGACGAAUGAUAACUUUUGUACUUAAUAAUUAAAGUUAUAUUUGUAUUUUAUUUAUUCUAUUAUGCUUAUUAUUAUAUUAUUAUAUUAUACUUCUUAUAUUUACCAACGGAAAUUUAUUUUAAUAUUCUUGUUACCAAUGAUUUUGUUAUUAAAUAUUCUUCAUUAUUGUACUUAUUGUUAUUAUUACAGUUGCUAUUAUACAGUUUCUAUGUCAGAACAUGGAGUUCCUUUUGUAAAGUAAUAAUAAAUCAAUAAAUAUAAAAAUAUUCUACUAUUACGUAUCUUUUGAAGACCUGUCAUUUUGCCUGGUUUUGGUAGAGAUAACUAUAUUUCAAAUGUCGGUAGUUCCAGUCUGAAAUAAUAAUAAAAAGUACCUGAAUGUCUGAAUCGGAUACUCCAAAAUCUAGAUUCGAUACAAGGAGCUUGGUUGUCCCUGCGCUACCUAUUGAACUUCGGCCAACCUUUUUUACUCCAUCAAACAUGUCGUGUUUCCAAGCACUGUUUACAUCGCCC